Molecule: ribosomal RNA, 519 nt
Filed under: uncultured eukaryote
Lineage: Eukaryota
Description: bacterial SSU rRNA
Rfam family: Eukaryotic small subunit ribosomal RNA
Source: RNAcentral
AGGGCACCACCAGGAGUGGAGCCUGCGGCUUAAUUUGACUCAACACGGGAAAACUUACCCGGCCCGGACACUGGAAGGAUUGACAGAUUGAGAGCUCUUUCUUGAUUCAGUGGGUGGUGGUGCAUGGCCGUUCUUAGUUGGUGGAGCGAUUUGUCUGGUUAAUUCCGAUAACGAACGAGACUCUAGCCUACUAAAUAGACUGUUCAGCUUUAUAGCCGGAAUCACCGGGCAUGUAGCUCUCACGGGUUGCAUGUUCGGCUCUGGUGACGUUGGCAGUGCUUCUUAGAGGGACAGGCGGCGGUUCAGCCGCACGAAACAGAGCAAUAACAGGUCUGUGAUGCCCUUAGAUGUCCGGGGCUGCACGCGCGCUACACUGAAGUGAUCAGCGUGCAAUUUACGUUUGGUGAUCUGUCAAGAUUGCCCAACCCGUUGAACCUUCUUCGUGAUUGGGAUAGGGGAUUGUAAUUAUUCCCCUUGAACGAGGAAUUCCCAGUAAGCGCAAGUCAUAAGCUUGCGUUG